This 499-nucleotide ribosomal RNA is filed under the name uncultured bacterium. RNAcentral describes it as "bacterial SSU rRNA". It matches the Rfam family "Bacterial small subunit ribosomal RNA", at positions 899 to 1397 of the family's 1533-position model. The record is from RNAcentral.
ACUCAAAGGAAUUGACGGGGGCCCGCACAAGCGGAGGAACAUGUGGUUUAAUUCGAUGAUACGCGAGGAACCUUACCCGGGCUUGAAAUGCAGAGGAAUAAUUAUGAAAGUAGUUAGCCAGCAAUGGUCUCUGUGUAGGUGCUGCAUGGUUGUCGUCAGCUCGUGCCGUGAGGUGUCGGCUUAAGUGCCAUAACGAGCGCAACCCUUAUCGUUAGUUACUAACAGGUCAAGCUGAGGACUCUAGCGAGACUGCCACCGUAAGGUGUGAGGAAGGUGGGGAUGACGUCAAAUCAGCAAGGCCCUUACGUCCGGGGCGACACACGUGUUACAAUGGGAGGAACAGCAGGUCGCGACCCGGUGACGGGUAGCCAAUCUUAUAAAACCUCUCUCAGUUCGGAUCGGAGUCUGCAACCCGACUCCGUGAAGCUGGAUUCGCUAGUAAUCGCGCAUCAGCCAUGGCGCGGUGAAUACGUUCCCGGGCCUUGCACACACCGCCCGU